Long non-coding RNA from Paramisgurnus dabryanus, 2101 nucleotides. RefSeq lists it as uncharacterized. NCBI's taxonomy places the organism in Eukaryota, Metazoa, Chordata, Actinopteri, Cypriniformes, Cobitidae. The record is from RefSeq and is a predicted model, not a curated record.
GAGUGAAUGAGUGUGAGGAGUGAGCAGGUGGGGUGAGCGAGUAGAGUGAGUGAAAUGGAGUAAAAAAUAAAGAUAGGAAGAUUCUGUCAGUAAUAAUGAUGUAAUGUUGAUUAAAUGUUGUCAUAGUGUCUUCUUUAGAUCAAGAUUUGAAUAUAUGCUGAGAUAUAAAUACACAGAUGUGCUGUUGGUUUGUUUUAGUCAGAGAGAGCAAACCCUACCUGACAUGAGGUCCACGAGCCAAUCGGAUCAGAUAGAGAGAAGCUCCACCCACUCCCAUAAACAUGAAGAAGAACUGAGAGAUGAAACUCAUUGAGGUUUAAAGCGUCACAGAUAAUAACCACUCAAAACUAAUAACAUACGCUAACCCGGAUGCUGCAAAUCAUUUUGACAGAUGUAGAUGGUGGCUUUCCUCAGGGUCACAUUGAUACCUCUGCUCAUCAUCUGUUCAUAUAAUACAUCAUGACAAAAGAUGACAUGGCGCUCACUGAAAUCCAACAGAAGUUGUCGAUGCUGAUGUUUUUCUUUCCACACUUUCUCCUUAUUGUGAGAUGUUGGCUGGUGAGACAGUCGUUCCCAUGAGGCCGUUCCCUGGCAUGGCUUCUUUCUCUGUAGAUAUGGAGAAGCUCUCUGUGACAGCGGCCGGGCCGAGCAGUACUGCGAUGCCUGAUCACUGUCACCAAUUUGUACAUAGCCAUGAGGGCCAUAGAGGGGACAGACCAUCAGUUUGACUCACACAACCAUAAUGAGCCUCAUAGGAUGAACACCUGUCUACAGUGAGAGACACAUUUAACUCUUCUGUGUGUGUGUGUGUGUGUGUGUGUGUGUGUGUGUGUGUGUGUGUGUGUGUGUGUGUGUGUGUGUGUGUGUGUGUGUGUGUGUGUGUGUGUGUUUCCAUGAUGCUGCUAAAAGAUCAAAAACAGAAGAUUAGUUUAUUAAACUGAAGCAGUAUCAUUUUGCUCAUUUAUUCUACAAUUACAUAGUUGACCAUUAAGGACGCAUUUAUUGAUUAAAUGUGUAUGUAACAAGCUUUCCCCAGAUUUGAUUUAGUUUGAUAUUAAUUUUAUUUUAAAUGUGUUGUUUGCAGCCUCAUAAUUUGUUCUACAAACACAUAUUUGUGAUCUGAUGAGAGGCGCAGAUGUAAACGUGUUUUAGUUUUAAUCAAACACUGACACCUGCUGGCGGCUGAUGGUACUGCGACUUAAAACAAAUCAACUUUAAGGGAGGCUCAGGGGUCUCAGACAGGGCUUAUUCUAGUCCCAGACUAAAUUCAUGUAAUUUUAAACAUCUUGUACUGACAUUUCUUAACAUAAUAUCAGUGUCAUUGUUUUUUUUUAGAUGCACAACAGCAUUGUUUUUUUUUUUUAAGGGUUAUUUGUAGAGUAAUGUAUUGUUCUUGAGUAUUAACUUUUCUGGACACUUCUUUACAUUUGAAACACACAUUUCUAUGUAAAGUUAACAUUUGUUGAUAAGUAGUGGAUGAUUUUUCUUAAGCGUGAUCGCUUAUUAUUUUACAGAUGACAGCUCAUUUAAUCACUCUUGUCGCAAGUUUUGCAGGCUCACGUUUUUUACUUAAAUUCUGUUGAAAUAAUCUAAUCAUUUCAAUUUUAAGAUCUUAGAUUUUUGCUGCAUGACAAUGUGUUAAAAAUGAAAACAAUAAUACUUGAUGACUAUACUCAGGAUUAGUUCGUCUGUACAUGAAGGAAACAUUUUACUAAACGCUUUCUGUGUAAAGUGAUAACACAAUCAUUUUUCCUUGCUUAAUCUCUGGUUGAUUUAAAACUCCUGUGAGCAACCUGGAACCCAGUGAAGUGGUGGGUUAAACUAACUACAGCGGUUAUAAAUGACAGUAAACAUGUAACCUCUAUUAAAUAAUCACAUAUCCACAGAGAAAGAGAGUUUAAAGAUUUCAUGCUUGUGGCCACACCUGGUGGCCAAAGUUGGUAUUGCAUGAUAAUGAUAGCUAGCAAACAUUUUCUCCCUGUGUCGUCUUUUGAGGAGAAAAAAUGUGAAACUGAAAAAAAAUAUGUUGAAGGAAAAAUGUAUUGAAAGAGAAAAAAAUAUUUUGAAAGAGGAAAAAAAAUUAAAGAAAAAAAAAACGAAA